This is a small nucleolar RNA of Kryptolebias marmoratus (mangrove rivulus), 140 nucleotides long. The record is from Ensembl. Lineage: Eukaryota; Metazoa; Chordata; Actinopteri; Cyprinodontiformes; Rivulidae.
UUGCACUGUCUUUGAACCUGAUUGGUCCUUUCUGUGACCUCUGAGGCCAAGCUACAGUGCUAAAGUAAAUUUAAGCUUGUUCAUAACUGGGGCUUCCUGGCAAUACUCCCAGGCGGCUCUUUUAAAAACAAGCUACAUGA